RNAcentral lists this long non-coding RNA (1004 nucleotides) under Numida meleagris (helmeted guineafowl). RNAcentral describes it as "lncRNA (ENSNMEG00000021217.1)". Lineage: Eukaryota; Metazoa; Chordata; Aves; Galliformes; Numididae. The record is from RNAcentral.
CUAAUCUCUCACAUGGUAUUCAUCCUAACUACUUCCAAGCAACCUCCUCAAUCUCUUUAGGCAGAAUUUUAGGCUGAUGUAAAUUUCAACGUCACGGAGAUUAAAGGCAUAUUUAAUUUCUGUUCAAAGUGAACUUCCAAAUUCCAGUGGCACAAUUCACAUUUUCUGCCAAAGCUUCAAAAAUAAAUAAGAUUUAAUGUCUCUUUCAGAUCCGUGGAAGAAUAAACAUCAUAAUUAAGAGUUUUUUUCUGAGGUCAACUACUAAUCAAGGCAAGCUGAAACACAAGAUCAGUAGACAUAGACCUGUACCCUCUGAAAGUUAAACAAGAAUCUCCUCAGGAAACAAUGGGAUUUUUUUUUUAUCCUAGAAAGUCACCAGCAGGUCAGCUGUUUCAAUGCUGACAUAGACAAGAAAAAGGCUUUUUUUAUUAAUGUUUGAAUUCUAUUUGACCAAAAUGAAAUCUUCAAAACUAUGGAAACAUAAGCAUAAAUUUGCACUUCAGGAUCCCUGAAAAGUGAGAGGGACAGCUGACUUUUGAUGGCAACAGAGAGGUGUGGAAGAGCUAUGAGAUCUCCGGAAGAAGAAUACUAUCUGAAAUUUAGGAAUGAUCUCCGCCUUAUUUCAAGAGCGAUUCUCCAUUAAAGCAGAGGCAUUCUCCUCCACUACAGCCUGAUUUAGCUGUGCAAGCUACUGUAGAAAGAAAGGAGGAUCAUCAUCUGCCUCAUUACUUUCUGGCCUCUUUAAUUGUGGAAGGGAACGUAGAAAAAGUCUAUUUAUAUUUUAGAAUGCAAACUGAACAUUAACAGCUGCACAAGCAUUUCCUUUGUGUUAUUCAAAUUGUAAGGGCCUCUCAGACUGCACAUAAUAUGCUCUUAAUUUUUAACUUCAGAAAAGAAACUGUGCCACUAUGUUAAUUAUUUUUAAUCUCUUCUGUCAUGUUAGGUUAAGCAUGCAAGUACAAUCACCCAACUAACCUUAAAUUACAUUUUUUUUUCAAUUUCUG